This 458-nucleotide ribosomal RNA is filed under the name uncultured bacterium. Its description in RNAcentral is "partial 16S ribosomal RNA". It matches the Rfam family "Bacterial small subunit ribosomal RNA", at positions 338 to 795 of the family's 1533-position model. The record is from RNAcentral.
CCUACGGGUGGCAGCAGUGAGGAAUAUUGGUCAAUGGGCGAGAGCCUGAACCAGCCAAGUCGCGUGAGGGAGUACUGCCCUAUGGGUUGUAAACCUCUUUUGUCGGGGAGCAAAAGCCGGACGUGUCCGGCUGUGAGAGUACCCGAAGAAAAAGCAUCGGCUAACUCCGUGCCAGCAGCCGCGGUAAUACGGAGGAUGCGCGCGUUAUCCGGAUUUAUUGGGUUUAAAGGGUGCGCAGGCGGAGUUUUAAGUCAGCGGUAAAAUCGUGGGGCUCAACCCCAUCCCGCCGUUGAAACUGGGGAUCUAGAGUGUGCGAGAGGUAUGCGGAAUGCGUGGUGUAGCGGUGAAAUGCAUAGAUAUCACGCAGAACCCCGAUUGCGAAGGCAGCAUACCGGUGCACAACUGACGCUCAGGCACGAAAGCGUGGGUAUCGAACAGGAUUAGAUACCCUGGUAGUC